Molecule: ribosomal RNA, 380 nt
Filed under: Staphylococcus hominis
Lineage: Bacteria; Bacillati; Bacillota; Bacilli; Caryophanales; Staphylococcaceae
Description: bacterial SSU rRNA
Rfam family: Bacterial small subunit ribosomal RNA
Source: RNAcentral
UUUUAUGGAGAGUUUGAUCCUGGCUCAGGAUGAACGCUGGCGGCGUGCCUAAUACAUGCAAGUCGAGCGAACAGACGAGGAGCUUGCUCCUUUGACGUUAGCGGCGGACGGGUGAGUAACACGUAGGUAACCUACCUAUAAGACUGGGAUAACUUCGGGAAACCGGAGCUAAUACCGGAUAAUAUUUCGAACCGCAUGGUUCGAUAGUGAAAGAUGGCUUUGCUAUCACUUAUAGAUGGACCUGCGCCGUAUUAGCUAGUUGGUAAGGUAACGGCUUACCAAGGCAACGAUACGUAGCCGACCUGAGAGGGUGAUCGGCCACACUGGAACUGAGACACGGUCCAGACUCCUACGGGAGGCAGCAGCAGGGAAUCUUCAGC